Molecule: long non-coding RNA, 443 nt
Organism: Grammomys surdaster
Lineage: Eukaryota; Metazoa; Chordata; Mammalia; Rodentia; Muridae
Exons: 4
Source: RefSeq, a predicted model, not a curated record
GCAGCAGAACUAUGCCCUACAGUUACUGAAAAAUUUUAAGCCAGAGUUGUGGUAGAAGAAGGGCUUCGACUCUCUACUUUCCUCCAUGAGGUGACCAGUAUGGAAGACUCUCACUGGAACCAUCACAGUGAUGCCUGGAUUCCUGUCCUCCAAAACUUCUUCCUUGCCAGCCAUCCAAUCCUCUAGUAAAACACCAACAAAAUCAGCAGCUGCAGUCCAGUCCAGUCGGUGAUCACCCCUCACAAAUCAACAAUGGCAGUUCAAUCCAGAAGAAACAGCAAGGCUCUACCAAUCAGCACAAAUCUAUGGAGGCAACAAGAAGCUGCAGAAAUAUCAUGUGAAGUUCUUUGGCUCUACAGAAGUCUUCCCAAGAGUCCACCCUGGUGAUUCUCUUCCUCACCUGUUGACACUGAUCUAGAAGAACUGUCCUUGGUGCCCAGGGC